This 253-nucleotide ribosomal RNA is filed under the name uncultured bacterium. RNAcentral describes it as "partial 16S ribosomal RNA". It matches the Rfam family "Bacterial small subunit ribosomal RNA", at positions 524 to 776 of the family's 1533-position model. The record is from RNAcentral.
UACAGAGGUGGCAAGCGUUGUUCGGAAUUACUGGGCGUAAAGGGCGCGUAGGCGGCCAUCUAAGUCAGACGUGAAAUCCCCCGGCUUAACCUGGGAACUGCGUCGGAUACUGGAUGGCUUGAAUUCGGGAGAGGGAUGCAGAAUUCCAGGUGUAGCGGUGAAAUGCGUAGAUAUCUGGAGGAAUACCGGUGGCGAAGGCGGCAUCCUGGACCGACAUUGACGCUGAGGAGCGAAAGCUAGGGGAGCAAACGGG